AGUGAACGCUGGCGGCGUGCUUAACACAUGCAAGUCGAACGGAUUAAAGGGGCUUGCUCCUUUAAUUAGUGGCGCACGGGUGAGUAACACGUAGCUAAUCUGCCCCAUAGUAAGGGACAACAGUUGGAAACGACUGCUAAUACCUUAUACUCCUUCUUUGCAUAAGCCUGGUCGGGAAAGUUUUUUCGCUAUGGGAUGAGGCUGCGGUCUAUCAGCUUGUUGGUGAGGUAAUGGCUCACCAAGGCUAUGACGGAUAGCUGGUCUGAGAGGAUGAUCAGCCACACUGGAACUGAGACACGGUCCAGACUCCUACGGGAGGCAGCAGUGGGGAAUUUUACACAAUGGGCGAAAGCCUGAUGUAGCAACGCCGCGUGGAGGAUGAAGGUUUUCGGAUUGUAAACUCCUUUUAUUAGGGAAGAAAUUUGACGGUACCUAAUGAAUAAGCACCGGCUAACUCCGUGCCAGCCGCCGCCGUAA
Molecule: ribosomal RNA, 477 nt
Filed under: uncultured bacterium
Lineage: Bacteria
Description: partial 16S ribosomal RNA
Rfam family: Bacterial small subunit ribosomal RNA
Source: RNAcentral